This 1962-nucleotide ribosomal RNA is filed under the name Escherichia coli. RNAcentral describes it as "partial 23S ribosomal RNA". It matches the Rfam family "Bacterial large subunit ribosomal RNA", at positions 984 to 2925 of the family's 2925-position model. The record is from RNAcentral. Lineage: Bacteria; Pseudomonadati; Pseudomonadota; Gammaproteobacteria; Enterobacterales; Enterobacteriaceae.
ACACACGGCGGGUGCUAACGUCCGUCGUGAAGAGGGAAACAACCCAGACCGCCAGCUAAGGUCCCAAAGUCAUGGUUAAGUGGGAAACGAUGUGGGAAGGCCCAGACAGCCAGGAUGUUGGCUUAGAAGCAGCCAUCAUUUAAAGAAAGCGUAAUAGCUCACUGGUCGAGUCGGCCUGCGCGGAAGAUGUAACGGGGCUAAACCAUGCACCGAAGCUGCGGCAGCGACGCUUAUGCGUUGUUGGGUAGGGGAGCGUUCUGUAAGCCUGUGAAGGUGUGCUGUGAGGCAUGCUGGAGGUAUCAGAAGUGCGAAUGCUGACAUAAGUAACGAUAAAGCGGGUGAAAAGCCCGCUCGCCGGAAGACCAAGGGUUCCUGUCCAACGUUAAUCGGGGCAGGGUGAGUCGACCCCUAAGGCGAGGCCGAAAGGCGUAGUCGAUGGGAAACAGGUUAAUAUUCCUGUACUUGGUGUUACUGCGAAGGGGGGACGGAGAAGGCUAUGUUGGCCGGGCGACGGUUGUCCCGGUUUAAGCGUGUAGGCUGGUUUUCCAGGCAAAUCCGGAAAAUCAAGGCUGAGGCGUGAUGACGAGGCACUACGGUGCUGAAGCAACAAAUGCCCUGCUUCCAGGAAAAGCCUCUAAGCAUCAGGUAACAUCAAAUCGUACCCCAAACCGACACAGGUGGUCAGGUAGAGAAUACCAAGGCGCUUGAGAGAACUCGGGUGAAGGAACUAGGCAAAAUGGUGCCGUAACUUCGGGAGAAGGCACGCUGAUAUGUAGGUGAAGUCCCUCGCGGAUGGAGCUGAAAUCAGUCGAAGAUACCAGCUGGCUGCAACUGUUUAUUAAAAACACAGCACUGUGCAAACACGAAAGUGGACGUAUACGGUGUGACGCCUGCCCGGUGCCGGAAGGUUAAUUGAUGGGGUCAGCGCAAGCGAAGCUCUUGAUCGAAGCCCCGGUAAACGGCGGCCGUAACUAUAACGGUCCUAAGGUAGCGAAAUUCCUUGUCGGGUAAGUUCCGACCUGCACGAAUGGCGUAAUGAUGGCCAGGCUGUCUCCACCCGAGACUCAGUGAAAUUGAACUCGCUGUGAAGAUGCAGUGUACCCGCGGCAAGACGGAAAGACCCCGUGAACCUUUACUAUAGCUUGACACUGAACAUUGAGCCUUGAUGUGUAGGAUAGGUGGGAGGCUUAGAAGUGUGGACGCCAGUCUGCAUGGAGCCGACCUUGAAAUACCACCCUUUAAUGUUUGAUGUUCUAACGUUGACCCGUAAUCCGGGUUGCGGACAGUGUCUGGUGGGUAGUUUGACUGGGGCGGUCUCCUCCUAAAGAGUAACGGAGGAGCACGAAGGUUGGCUAAUCCUGGUCGGACAUCAGGAGGUUAGUGCAAUGGCAUAAGCCAGCUUGACUGCGAGCGUGACGGCGCGAGCAGGUGCGAAAGCAGGUCAUAGUGAUCCGGUGGUUCUGAAUGGAAGGGCCAUCGCUCAACGGAUAAAAGGUACUCCGGGGAUAACAGGCUGAUACCGCCCAAGAGUUCAUAUCGACGGCGGUGUUUGGCACCUCGAUGUCGGCUCAUCACAUCCUGGGGCUGAAGUAGGUCCCAAGGGUAUGGCUGUUCGCCAUUUAAAGUGGUACGCGAGCUGGGUUUAGAACGUCGUGAGACAGUUCGGUCCCUAUCUGCCGUGGGCGCUGGAGAACUGAGGGGGGCUGCUCCUAGUACGAGAGGACCGGAGUGGACGCAUCACUGGUGUUCGGGUUGUCAUGCCAAUGGCACUGCCCGGUAGCUAAAUGCGGAAGAGAUAAGUGCUGAAAGCAUCUAAGCACGAAACUUGCCCCGAGAUGAGUUCUCCCUGACUCCUUGAGAGUCCUGAAGGAACGUUGAAGACGACGACGUUGAUAGGCCGGGUGUGUAAGCGCAGCGAUGCGUUGAGCUAACCGGUACUAAUGAACCGUGAGGCUUAACCUU